GGGGGGUGGCUGUGAGGAUUCAGUGAGAACGAACAUAAGGCAAUUAACAGCACCUAGCACUGGAAAAAUUAAUGGUGGCUGCCGGGACUAUCCUCUCCAUCAGUCAAACUGUGAUCAGUGGGGAAGGCACAAGGUAUUCAUUAUAAAACACCGUCUUAACGCCUGACACAGUCCUUGGCCCGCUACGAGUCGUGACCUAGAGUUAAAGAUGAGACAGAAAAAAAAAUGCAUGUGAUCAAACGUGGACACAUAAAAAUUCUUUUAAAUUAAGUUUUAGGGUUUUUCCCUCUUUAUAGGACUGUUUUCAAUUCUGGCCUAAGUUUCCAGGGAGAAGAGAGAGAGAUGAAAGAGAAAGUUACAUCUAAGAGAGAAAGGAUCAACCGGCGUGACCGCAAGCAGACAGUAGAUGGAAAAUGAAGUGACGUCAAGGAGGCUGAAAUAACUGAGUAAUGAGAGAGCAGUGGAUUUCUCUAGAACUGGAAGGGACCACAGUCUAGUGCUCUACUUCAAAUGUAAAGAACAGACCUGGAAAGACGACAGCAACAACAGCCACUGCCUGCCCAGAGUGGUUCCCCGUGCCUGCCCCAAACGCAGACGCGUGCGCUCAGUGACUGAUGAAGGCUGCCCCUCACAUCCAGUCUGCUGUCAGACCUGCCUCUCCUCCUCCCUGGCAUCCCCCUCCUUCCCUUCUCCGGGCACAGGGAAGCUCUGGAUGAAGUUGUGAUAAAGGCCUCCCCCUAGAAGAGAGGAAAUUCCACAGCUCUGAUGUGAUGUGAAACGUGAUCUGCACGCCCCAGCACUCUUUCUUUCUCACUCUCCCAGCCAGUUCCCAAACUGGGUCUCCCUGGCCCCUCUCGAAGCCGCCCGCCCCGUCCCCCUCGCCACCCCCCACUUCUUUCCCUCUCCAUUUUACACACUGUAACCUGAUAGGCUGGAAAUGCAGUUUCUUUCAUCUCCCAUUUCCCACAUCCUGAAAGUCUGCAGAGAAGGAGCCCACCCAGAUAAAGGAAUUCCAAGCAUGUGCAUCCCCUCCCCCUUUAACUCCAUUCACAAAGCAGAUUACUAAUGGCCCGAGGCUCCAGGGAGGCCCUCCUCCCCCUCCCCCCGCCCCAGUCUCCAAAGAGUUUACUCAUUCCUCAUCCUUACUCCCCACCGGCACAAAAGCCUAAAUCCACAUGCCC
Molecule: long non-coding RNA, 1181 nt
Filed under: Equus caballus (horse)
Lineage: Eukaryota; Metazoa; Chordata; Mammalia; Perissodactyla; Equidae
Description: lncRNA (ENSECAG00000057642.1)
Source: RNAcentral